UCUUUGAAUGCGGGACCAACUUGGGCCUCAGCCCGUCCCAUCUCUACCCACCAGACUUCUACUUCGAGGCAGGAAACAAGGGCACCGUCUCCUUCUCCGCGGCACUGCAUUGCAGCAGUAGAUGGGCUGUUAGGGUAAGAAUGAAUUAGAAGCAAGGAGUGCAGGAAGCCUGACGAAGCCAACCUCUUGAAAGGGAUGAACUGCAGUAUCAAUGUCCAGACAUGAGGCUAUUUAUAGCGAAGACUCCAAAAUAGUCCAUGCUGAAUCUGGUGCUCCAGGUAAGAUGGCAGACAAGUUGUUUCUCUGGCCCGAGAAAGAUGAAGGUUUUCUGAGCUAUAACAAUAUGGAUUCGAUCUGACAUGGCAUCAAUCAGAUAGCUAAGUUUAGGAGCCGAAAGCGCUUUGAGGAAGCAGAUGGCGAAACUCAUGUGAACAGCCCCACUGGCCCCAUCAACAGCAGCACUGAUGAGAAGCAAAGUGAAGUGCGAGUUGGCAUUAAAGAAUGCAUACUUGAACCAACCAGCCAUUGAGACCAGUGAUGCUUCCAGAGCAAAAAGAAGAGCCUCUACUUACACUCCCAAUUGUUUCCAUUACAAGGCCACUCCACUCUAUCCUACCUCCCUCCCUCCCUCGGUGUUUAUUAGCUGCAUGUGGGAGUCACUUCAAUUCACCUCAUUACCCGAGGUUUUUUGAAGUUGUUCUAGGUCCAUGAUUUCCUCUGUAAUUGAGAUUUGUUGCUUCGUAUAUGAGUGUGUUGUGUUUUGUUUUGUUUUCUGUAAUCCAAUGUAUUUUCUGAAGCAAGACCAUGGAAAAUUGAAUGGAAUGUCAAUGUGAAAUAAGUACCUGUGUUUAGUGAA
Tripterygium wilfordii is the source of this 856-nucleotide long non-coding RNA. RefSeq lists it as uncharacterized. The transcript is spliced from 3 exons. Lineage: Eukaryota; Viridiplantae; Streptophyta; Magnoliopsida; Celastrales; Celastraceae. The record is from RefSeq and is a predicted model, not a curated record.